Ameiurus melas (black bullhead) is the source of this 72-nucleotide non-coding RNA. NCBI's taxonomy places the organism in Eukaryota, Metazoa, Chordata, Actinopteri, Siluriformes, Ictaluridae. The record is from the annotation of a GenBank genome assembly.
UCCCUGGUUGUCUAGUGGUUAGGAUUUGGUGCUCUCACCACCACUUUCCAGGUUCGAUUCCCAGUCAGGGAA